This 421-nucleotide long non-coding RNA is filed under the name Nicotiana benthamiana. RNAcentral's name for it is "long non-coding RNA (NBEN_LNC021117)". The record is from RNAcentral. Lineage: Eukaryota; Viridiplantae; Streptophyta; Magnoliopsida; Solanales; Solanaceae.
ACCUUAGUUAAUGAUGGGCUAACUAAGGUUACAUACAUGUAACCAUGGUUACAUGCUUAUGACUUUUGAGUUUCAUAACUCAUAUGUUAUAAGAGGGGGAUUAUGGUUCCCAUAAGAAUGCAAGACAUUCUCUUCUUCUUCUACCCAUUGAGAGAGAGAGCCAUUGUUGUCUUGCAUAUCAAGUGGAAAACCAUUCCUCAUAUUUGUCUUGGAUAUUCUUGUGAAAGCCAUAUCUCUUGGGAAAACUUCAAGAUAUUCUUCAAGAAGGAUUAAGAAGCUUUCAAAGCCAAACAUUUGGACAAUCUUCAAAAGGACUAAGGAUUUCCACUUAUGGAUUCAGGUACGCUUCCGCUUAUGUUGUUAUUCCAAGUAAUUCGAUAUAAAGGCUAUUAUGUUUUAGUCGGAUUUAUAAUCCUAACAA